AAUUAGUAAAUUUUAUUAAUAUGUAUACUUUAAGUAAAAUAAUGAAUUAAUUUUUUUUUUAAACUGAAAAGGUAAUAAAUUUAAUUAGGAAAAAUAAUUUAUUAGUACCUUUGGUAUCAGGGUUUUUUAAUUAGUUAAAUUAGUUUAUUUUCCCGAAUAAAAAAUUUUUAUAAUAUAAAUUUAGUAGUUGUUUCAAAACCUUUAAGCAUUAUAUUAUAGUAAUUAUAUGUUAUUCGUUUUUUUUAUUUCUGGUUAUUAAGGAUAUAAUUCAAUUAUACAUUUAUUUUCAUUAUAGUUCUUUCCUGUUUUUAAGUGUUAUGGAAUUAGGGAUAAUCUUAAUUUUAGAUUACAAUUAUUUAUAUAUAAAAAAUAUUAUCUUUAAAAUUUUGAAUAUAGUUUGUACUUAAUUAAUUUUUUUUUAUAUGAUUUUAUUAUAAUUUAUUUUUUUUACUUAAUUUUUUUAAAUAAUAAUUAUUUAAAAAUAAUACUGAAUGAAUUAGUAUAAAUUUAAAAAUUUAAUUGAAUGAAUUAGACAAAAUUAAAUUCCAACUGUUUAACAAAAACAUUUCUUUUUGAUUACUAUAAAAAGUAUUUUCUGCCCUAUGGGAUUAACUAAAUGGCUGCAGUAUUUUGACUGUGCAAAGGUAGCAUAGUAAUUAGUUUCUUAAUUAGAAGCUGGAAUGAAUGGAUAUAUGAGAAUUUGUUUUUAUUAAUUAAAAAUUUAAAAUUUUAAUUUUAAGUAAAAAUGCUUAAAUUUUUUCUUGGGACGAUAAGACCCUAUAGAACUUUAUAAUCUUGAGAUCAUUUAAGUUAAAACAAAUUUUUAGUGUUAUCAAGCUUAUUUAGCUGGGGUGGUGUUUAAAUUAAAACUUUAAUUAAGUUAUUCAUUUAUUAGUGUUUUUUAUGAUCUUUAUUAAAAAUUAAAAGAUUAAGUUACCUUAGGGAUAACAGCGUAAUUUUGAUGGGGAGUUCAUAUUUAUAUCAGUUUUUGCGACCUCGAUGUUGAAUUAAGAAAAACUUAAGAAGCAGAAUUCUUAAAUUUUAAGUCUGUUCGACUUUUAAUAUCUUACAUGAUUUGAGUUCAAACCGGCGUGAGCCAGGUUGGUUUCUAUCUUAGAAAAUUAAAAUAUUUAUUUAGUACGAAAGGACCAAUAAAUAAUACUUUUUGUAUUCAAUAUUUAAAU
This 1184-nucleotide ribosomal RNA is filed under the name Cicadellidae sp. EMHAU-2015-Zz052706. Its description in RNAcentral is "16S ribosomal RNA". The stretch from base 757 to 1121 matches the Rfam family "Archaeal large subunit ribosomal RNA", at positions 2147 to 2719 of the family's 2987-position model. Lineage: Eukaryota; Metazoa; Arthropoda; Insecta; Hemiptera; Cicadellidae. The record is from RNAcentral.